RNAcentral lists this ribosomal RNA (375 nucleotides) under uncultured bacterium. Its description in RNAcentral is "bacterial SSU rRNA". It matches the Rfam family "Bacterial small subunit ribosomal RNA", at positions 524 to 898 of the family's 1533-position model. The record is from RNAcentral.
UACGUAGGGUGCGAGCGUUAAUCGGAAUAACUGGGCGUAAAGGGUGCGCAGGCGGUGCGGGAAGACGGAUGUGAAAGCCCCGGGCUUAACCUGGGAAAGGCAUACGUGACUGGCGCACUAGAAUCUCGCAGAGGGAGGUAGAAUUCCACGUGUAGCAGUGAAAUGCGUAGAGAUGUGGAGGAAUACCAAUGGCGAAGGCAGCCUUCUGGGCGAAGAUUGACGCUGAGGCACGAAAGCGUGGGGAGCAAACAGGAUUAGAUACCCUGGUAGUCCACGCCCUAAACGAUGUCAACUAGUUGUUGGGGAAAACUUUUCCUUAGUAACGAAGCUAACGCAUGAAGUUGACCGCCUGGGGAGUACGGUCGCAAGAUUAAA